AAAAAUCUAUAAACAAACCCAAUGAAGAUUAUAUUGUAAUAUCAUUUAAUAAAAAUUAUUAUUAGCUAUCUAAACUUGGGCAAACUCUUCACUUUUUGUAUUAGGCCAUUCUUGUGCUGCUAUGAAGAAAUAUCCGAGACUGGGUAAUUUAUAAAAUAAGAAGUUUGGCUCACAGUUCUGCAAGCUGUGCAAGAAGAAUAGCAGCAUCUGCUUCUGGGGUGGCCUCAGGAAGCUUCCAAUCAUGGCAGAAAGCAAAGCCAGGUCGCCAUGGGUUGGGCAGAUCCUGAAGAGCACCAACUUGAGUCUGACAGUCCUUCCAGAACACGGCACCCACCUCCACCAUGUAACACAGCCAAGUGAAACACUAAGGAGGCUCUGUAAGGCAUGACUCUGAAGAAGGCCACUAUCUUUUACUGCCAUGACACCAUUUCUCAGAACACAUCACAUGGCCCCUGAGUGGUCAGGAGUCCAGAGAAAAACAGUCAAGCCCUCCUUUAAUAGUAAAAUUUUUGUCUGACCCUCUC
Molecule: long non-coding RNA, 524 nt
Filed under: Pan troglodytes (chimpanzee)
Lineage: Eukaryota; Metazoa; Chordata; Mammalia; Primates; Hominidae
Description: lincRNA
Source: RNAcentral